GGGCGAUUAACUCAGCGGGAGAGUGCUACCUUCACACGGUAGAAGUCGCUGGUUCGAUCCCAGCAUCGCCCACCA
Molecule: transfer RNA, 75 nt
Filed under: Geotalea uraniireducens Rf4
Lineage: Bacteria; Pseudomonadati; Thermodesulfobacteriota; Desulfuromonadia; Geobacterales; Geobacteraceae
Also listed under: 3 other names
Description: tRNA-Val (CAC) (tRNA-Val-CAC-1-1)
Rfam family: tRNA
About the family: Transfer RNA (tRNA) molecules are approximately 80 nucleotides in length. Their secondary structure includes four short double-helical elements and three loops (D, anti-codon, and T loops).
Source: RNAcentral